This 1210-nucleotide long non-coding RNA is filed under the name Pan troglodytes (chimpanzee). RNAcentral's name for it is "lncRNA (ENSPTRG00000053681.1)". Lineage: Eukaryota; Metazoa; Chordata; Mammalia; Primates; Hominidae. The record is from RNAcentral.
GAAAGAGUUGUGAGCUGUCCAUGCUCUUCUGAAACUUGGCUGAGAUGGUCUGGAAUGGAAUCCCAAGGCUCCUAAAACAAGAUUUUGCCUAUAGAUGGGUGCAGAAGAAUUCCUGCUGUUAUGGAAGGAUAUGAGUAGUGAAAAAAGUGUAUAAAAUAGAAGAGAAAUUUGUUUAAAAGCAAGUGUCAUCACUGAGAAAAUGUGCUGCACAUCUAAUUGGAAGGAGAAUUAAGAGAGAAAACAUCACAGGAAAUGAAGGCAUGAAGUUAAGUGAACACACGGUAGUUUCAUGAGCACUGGGGUGUGGGGCCUAGGUGAAAGGAAGAGGUUGGAGAGGGAAGAUAUCAAGUUUGUCAUGGAUAUGCUGACAAAGGGUUGUGUGAUACGCCUACACUCAAGAUACCAUUUAACUGAGCUUGGGGGAUUACCAAUAUCAGCCAUACCACUAAGAAUGAGAUAAUUGCAACGAACUGCUGGGUGAUGGGAAACAACCAAUUGUCCACAAUGUCAUGCAGUCUGCAUAUUAUGAUGCAGUACAAUUCAUAAUCUCCAUGUAACAUUAUAAGGAUUUGAAGGCCAGGCGUGGUGGCUCACGCCUGUAAUCCCAGCACUUUGGGAGGCUGAGGCGGGCAGAUCACCAUUUCAGGAGAUCGAGACCAUCCUGGCUAACACGGUGAAACCCCGUCUCUAUUAAAAAUACAAAAAAUUAGCCGGGCAUGGUGGCGGGCGCCUGUAGUCCCAGCUACUCGGGAGGCUGAGGCAGGAGAAUGGCUUGAACCCGGGAGGCGGAGCUUACAGUGAGCCAAGAUCGCGCCACUGCACUCCAGCCUGGGCGACAGAGUGAGACUCCAUCUCAAAAAAAAAAAAAAAAAAAAAAAAAAAAAAAAAAGAAAAGAAAGAAAAAAAGGAUUUGAAGCAGAAUUUCUCACUUGAUAGGCAACUGGGUUCCAGAAAGAGCAGAAUUGGAAGAGUGAAAUAUACAAAGAUCUCAAGUCCACUGAGCCUUUUUAUUGAGGUGUAUUCUAUUAUAUUUAAUUAUUAUUUGUCUUUUUUUGCCUCCAUUUUUUUAAACAGGGGUUGGGGUAGGAAAGGCAGUCUCAAUGUAAUGGUGAAUAUAUAAGUGAAAGAGGAAAAACAAAGUUUUAUGUUUUUAAUGAAAUAAAGAAUUUAGACAUUCAUAAUUUUGAUGGUACUCCACAUUAGUGAUUAC